UGGGGAAUCUUGCGCAAUGGGCGAAAGCCUGACGCAGCGACGCCGCGUGGGGGAUGAAGGCCUUCGGGUUGUAAACCCCUUUCAGCAGGGACGAAGCGAAAGUGACGGUACCUGCAGAAGAAGCGCCGGCUAACUACGUGCCAGCAGCCGCGGUAACACGUAGGGCGCAAGCGUUGUCCGGAAUUAUUGGGCGUAAAGAGCUCGUAGGCGGACUGUUGCGUCCGCUGUGAAAAGCUGGGGCUUAACCCUGGCCUUGCAGUGGAUACGGGCAGACUAGAGGGAGGUAGGGGAGAUCGGAAUUCCUGGUGUAGCGGUGAAAUGCGCAGAUAUCAGGAGGAACACCGGUGGCGAAGGCGGAUCUCUGGGCCAUUACUGACGCUGAGGAGCGAAAGCGUGGGGAGCGAACAGGAUUAGAUACCCCGGUAGUCC
Molecule: ribosomal RNA, 429 nt
Filed under: uncultured bacterium
Lineage: Bacteria
Description: bacterial SSU rRNA
Rfam family: Bacterial small subunit ribosomal RNA
Source: RNAcentral